Molecule: ribosomal RNA, 503 nt
Filed under: uncultured bacterium
Lineage: Bacteria
Description: partial 16S ribosomal RNA
Source: RNAcentral
UGUCCACGACGUACGGACAGCCGUCGAGCACAGCACUCUACAACCCAAUUCAGGGCGUUGCUCGCGUUGGGGAUAAGAAUCAACGGUUGUGAAGCCCACCCGUGAGAUCCCUCUGACGGCCACUGUUUGGCCUCCUUCCACCCCUGCUGCAGUUCAGUAGUACCGGGAAUACCSGUCCCGAUGUGUGCACGAUGUUACCUGCCAUGUUUCCCAACGGUUCGGCGCUCCACCUCGGUUAGGGUCUUUCGGCUAGCAUCAGGCCUAACCUCAGACGUUGAGCUGAGGUACUUCAGCCUUAGCGAUCAUUAGCGUCUAGUCGUACUGACGCCACUUAUGCAAGGGCCCAGAACAUGUGUGGCGGGCAGUGUGGUACCCUCACCCCAAAUGGUCUUCAUCCAUCGAAUUGGNGUUCCUCCCGCGAAUGGUGCCACUCGAAGUACUGACCCCACUUCAGCAUUGUUCCAUCGGCAUAGCCUUCCACGCCGACCUAGUGGAGGAAAGAC